GGGGUCCCUUUUUAUAGAUGAAGAGCGUAACUGAUUGACAGCGACGUCUGUAACCGCCUGGUAGUGAACCGUUCAGGACCACACGGAGUUUGUUACGGAGAGUAGUGGCGUCAGGGGCCAUUCAGGGCCAUGUGGAGUUUGUUAUAGAGAGUGGAGUGGUGUCCGUUGUCGCGACUUGCCAGAGAGUGGUGGAGCCACGUGGAAUCUAUUACAGAGAGUGGAGUAGAGUAGUGACCAUUGUCGUGACUUGCCGGAGAGUUC
This 261-nucleotide long non-coding RNA is filed under the name Elaeis guineensis (African oil palm). RNAcentral's name for it is "long non-coding RNA (EGUI_LNC058026)". The record is from RNAcentral. Lineage: Eukaryota; Viridiplantae; Streptophyta; Magnoliopsida; Arecales; Arecaceae.